GUGUUUUACUUUUACUAUUACUUACAAAAUGGCGUGAAUCAAGGAACAUAUUUUUGUCUUUUUCAUGUCCACCUUCAAGCUCAAGUUCAACUUAUAUCUAAAAAUGUGAAAUCUAAAAUAGCGAUCCAUCUUAUUUCGUUUUCGUUCAGUUUGUGAAUUAAGAAAUUGUGAUAAAAAAAAAUUGUGCAGUACUUUUCACUUUUCUAGACUCAGGUCUCAAAUUGCAAAUAAUAAUUUGAUGAUAGCGUUGCUAAUGCGCCAUUUACAGUAUUAAAAUUAAGUGAUCUUUGAUGUGAUGCUCUUGAUUUGUAAUUUAUUAUUUACAUAUUUUGUAGCUGACGCUGUUUGGGUAGGGUAUAGAUUUGUCUCCGUCAUCGUUAUUUAAAUGGCUGAUAGACGAUAGCCUUCUCAUCAGUUUAAAAAUGUUUUGAUCUUGUAUUUCAAAUCCUUCAUUUAAAACCUGAUGUAGUAUUCUGUUGGCUUUCCAAAUGGCCAACAGGCCUAAUACAUCAUCAAACUGAAGCCUGUUAGGAAUUUGGUUCUGUUAUAGUUUUAUUUCAGUUUGUAUGACAAAUGUUUAUUUGGCCUAGCCUAUUAUAGUAAAUAUUGAUUGUUUAUUACUAAACUAACUAACUAAACAGUUAAUAUUUACAAAAAUGAUGUACAACACAUCCAGCUUGUUAGGCUUAACUACUGUUAAAUGUGUUACUAGGUCAUGAAAAAUGAGGCGCCUAAAAGAGGAAAUUUCCACAUCUCAAUGUUAAUGUUGUGGUCAACAAUGGACAAUAUUUAAACAAAUAAUACAUAAAUAUCAUGUACUAUGUCGAGUUGUGUGUUCAGGAAGUGGUGUAAGUGUAAAAAAUACAUAAAUAAAUAGUGGAAUUAAAGACAAAAUUGUGCAUGUGUGCGCUCAGUUUUGUAGCCUAUUAUUCGGAUCACUUUUUCCUGAUUCAGAUUCUGAUUUUAUAUGGAUGUAACUAAUCUAUAGGAUAAAAUUAUCAUUGGUUAGGGUUGUUUAUAAUCGAACUCCUUGUUCAUGAUAUGUUGGGAAACCUUUGGCAACAUCAGUAGCAGGCAGCCCUUGGUGACCGUUUCUUCAACAAGUAAUGGCAGUUGUCAGAAGUCAUUCCAGUGUUUUGUGAAUUAAAGUAGUUUUUUCUGAUUCACAAAACACUGAACCCCUUUGUUUGAGGAAAAUUUAAUAUUAGUUGUUUAUAAAUAGAAACUUUCAAAUAAUUUAAAUGUAGCGACCUGUACUUUGGUGUAUUGAUGAAACAAUACCAUUGAGGUAUCGAUACUUUUACUCGAUACUGUAUCUGUCGUCAAGUAUCGACACUUACUCGGUAUCAAUUGAAAAGUAUUGAUACUUACUCAUGUCAAAUGGUUUUUAGAAAAUUUAAGUUAAAAACCGUAACAUGCACGGGUAUUCUUUAUUGUUAUAUACAUUUGUAAUAAAAGCCUGUCUUUGUAGUGCUUCCCAAAAAUAUUAAUUUUUCCAAACGUUUUCCCAGUUAAAUUUAAGAGAAGUGGCGAGUGGUGACAUAGACAAACAAGCUUGCCAACUACACAAAAAAAACUAAGGCUAGGAUGCCUUCAAAAAUUUCAAUUUAAGAUAUUCAAUUUUCAAUUAUCAAUGUUAAAACAAAAUAGUGACAUUGGUAUACUGAUAUGAGUACUUUUGACUGAUACCUACUUGAUUCUUAAUUUCAAAGUAUCAAUACUAAAAAUACUUGUAUCGGAGCAAAAGAAUCAAGUACAUACUUGUAUUUACUCGUAUCUUAUUAUUCCUACUUUGGUGGCCCAGCUACACUGGUAUUUUAAACUCAGUGCUGGGUAUUUGAUGAUAUCAACGUGAAGAUUCAGACAAUAACAAAAAGCACAAUAUACUUGGACUGCUACUGCUCUUGUUGACUCCAUGUACAGGGAAUUUUUGUUGUCAAAGAUUUGUUACCAUUUUUUAGCUCUAACAAAUAUUAUUCAUAUUCACAAAUAUAAAUUGCUGUGUUAACUUGCUGUAAAAGUGUUGUGUUAAAUUAUUGUUGAAAUUAAUAAUUUUUACACACCUAAAAAAAAAUAAGUACUUGUAAGGUAAUUUGUUGUUUGGGAGGUUUUUAUUGAAAUAUAUAGUUCUGGCAAACAGCAAAAGAAGUACUACAUGGAUAGAUGAUCUACAACUAACUGCAAAAAGGCUGGAAGAGGACUAUGCCAUGAAUUUUUGUCAAUGGUAGAUUGUGGAUGUCAUUCAUUCAGUUUUAGUACUUUAUCUAGCAUAUCUGACAUCUUGUAUGGUAAAAAGUGAAUACUAUGUUUUUUAGAACAGUCAUUAACAACUAAACUAACCCAAAAAAAAUCUCCUAUUUUCAAAUUAAGAUGCAUGUUAAUCAAUACUUAAUUCUUAGCUUACAUCAAUCAACCUCUAAAUCUACCUCUAAAAAACAAAGCUCAGUGGUAAGAAAGGUCUCAUUGUUAAGGGGUUUGUCGCACUAACUCCUAGCACAGUCUUUUCAGACUAGUUGGAGGGGAAGAGGAAUAUUGGUCAUAUUAUAAAAAAUAUGGCAAAUAUUCUUUUAAUAAAAAAAAAACUUCUAAAUGUCUUUCUUACCAUGUGGUACAGGCGAAGUAAAUUGUACCCAGUUGGUACAGCAGCAAGAUGUAAAAUCAAAAAUUGUAUUGAAUUGUUUGAAUUUUAAGAGUUACAGGAGUAUAUUAUGAGGGUUCUUAUAAUUAUGAUAUCUUAUACUUAAUUUAACAACACAGCCUUAAGUGUUCUUGUUGAUUUUGUUCAAAAGUAGUCGUAAUUUGUUAUGGGUAACUGAUGCUUAUCAAUAGCCCUUGUCCAAAUGUUCAGUGGUAUCCAACUUAAAUCAUGUGUUUGAAGUUUGGUAUGUUUUACAAGUUCAUUCAUCAUUAUCAACCCAUAUUUGGCUCACUGCUGCUCAAGUCUCCUCUCAGAAUGAGAGUGGUUAGGCCAAUAGUCCUAACCACUCUCAUUCUAAAUAGCUGGCCUAAUGUGGAUUGGCAGACUUCACAUAUGCAGAGAAUUAAGAAAAUUCUCAGGUAUGUUGGUUUCCUCACGAUGUUUGCCCUUUACUAUUUGAAAUAAGUGAUAUAUUUAUUUUUUUAAAAUGCACUUUACUGAAAAUUUUAAAGGUGCAUGCCCUGGACCAGAUUUGAACAUGCACCCUCCGGAACCGGAUGCAGAGGUCACACUGGGCUAUCACAAGUACAUUGCUUUAGAGAAAAAAUAGAAAAAUCUUGAUAUACUUGUGGUGAGGCAAUAGGUACAGCAAGGCACUAGUUGAUUUGGUUGACAUAUUUUGACUUCGUUGAAGCAGGCUCAUUAUCAAAUACCUCUAGUAAGCCGUAUUCAAUCUUGAGUUUUGCACCUGAUUGGACUUUUAAUGGAUGUGUAUGAAAAACAUAAAAUCCCAGAGGGUGUCGCUAUUUCAAGAUCUAGAUCUUUUCCUUUUAGACAUUUUCCUUUUUUCCAAACAAACUAAACAUAUAGUACUUGUAGAGCUUACUGUGCUAUGGGACUCUGAAGGACCACAGUAUAAAAAUAAAUAAAUAUUAUGACUAAAAAUGGGCAUGUGGUUAGUAUGUGGUGGAAGGAGGAUUGCCAGUAAAAUAUCUCUAUAACUUAAAGACCUUGGCUGUUCUAUAACUGCAGCUAGUUAAGGUCCUUUUUUACAGCCUUGUCUUGGCUAUCUGAUGAGUAACUGCAACUUUAUUCCUACCUAUUUAUUAUAAAUGAAAGUUUUGGCUGUCUGCUUAUAAGAGUCUUGACAAACUCAUGAGUAUGAUAAGUUUCUAACAUGUGUCAGAUUAAACAAAUUAAAAGCGUUUUUAAUUAUAAUUAUUUAGGUAAAUAUGUAAUAAUCGAAUAAUUGAAUGAAACACAAAUUAUUUUUAAUUUUGUAUUACCAUUCAAGAAGACUAAUUGUUUGAGUUUCGACGUGGAAAGCAGAGUCCUGUGUUCAUUUGAAUUAAAUCCGGGUUUGGAGAGUAACUGUUCUCAUGGCACUGUUCUUAUGACUAUAUUGCAUCUUGUGCAGUAUAUUUUUGCCAAAGUAGGAUAUAUUUUGCAAUGACUUAACCACCACUCAGUGGGGUCGUUCCAUUUCAACUCCCUUAUAGCUUUCGAUAAAGGAGUCCCAGGAGUUAAUGUUGAUACUUAAAUUAUCAACCUUAUACCAUAUACUGGUACUCCAUGCUUUCAACUUUUUGAAACGGGAAUAGUUACUUUGGCCAAAAAAAGGUUUUCUUGUAAUAGUACUAAUCUGUUUUCAAUAUCUUUCAAUAAAUCAUUUUGUACUGAUAUUCCUACAGCUGCUGUUGAUGAAGCAUUCUUAGUUUCUUUAAUUUCUUGUUUCAAUGUAUUUUAAGGGUACCAAACUAGUAGUGGCAUAUUCCUUGGCACUCAGGUCCUCUGUUACUAUUUUAAAUGGCUUGAGAAACGCAACUAAAUCGCGCAAAAUGGUUCAUUGCAAAGUAACUACAAUGUCAGUAGUUACCAUGUUGUUACCAUAAUCGGUGGAGAAAUUUGGAAUUAUUGAAAAUUUAUGGGGUGUGUUUUGCUAAAUAGCCGGGUCCACACCGGACGAUCCAGGAUCGCGGAGCGUGGAUCGUGGAUCGUGUUAGGCCGAUCCACUCUUGGAAACUUGCGAUCCCAAAUUAUGCGCUCCAAGCGAUCCUAAGGCGAUCCGUGAUUCAGCCAGUCUAACUCUUGUACGAUAUGGAGUCACACGUACAACGGCGGCGUCUUGCCGUUGCAGCAGUAACUUUUAUUUUGCUUAAAUGCUUGCGCAAAAAAUCACAAAAAAGAAAACGACGGUUUUGGGUGAAACAAAUUUACAAAAAUCGCUUGGAAUCUGGGACUCAGCUGUACGCAGAGUUAGUGUCAGAUAAAGUUGAACACAAUUUUGCAAGAAUGAAUGCUAAUCAAUUUGAGAUAUUGUGUUCAUUAUUAAAUAACAAGCUAAGAAAGAAUGAUACAAAUUAUAGAGAUGCCAUUACUGUGAAGGAAAGAUUAUUACUAACAUUGAGAUUUUUAGCAACUGGAGAUUCGUACGUCAGUUUGCAGUAUCUGUUCCGCAUUUCCAAACAGUCUAUAUCGAUAAUUAUUCCUGAAGUUUGUGAAGCCAUCAUUGACCUGUUAAAUGAUUAUGUAAAGAAACUGGGACUGCGAUGAAUUGGAGGCUAGAUGAGCAGACGGUGAUGUCUGUGGAAUUGGAGCUGGAUAAUUUUGAGGUUGUAGAGACUGGGACUGUGAUGAAGUGGAUGCUAUUGGUGUGCCAGGAUAUGAAU
RNA transcript from Bicyclus anynana (squinting bush brown), 5307 nucleotides. It is a transcript of the gene named putative nuclease HARBI1, with no coding region annotated. The transcript has 3 exons. Lineage: Eukaryota; Metazoa; Arthropoda; Insecta; Lepidoptera; Nymphalidae. The record is from RefSeq and is a predicted model, not a curated record.